CCUACGGGUGGCAGCAGUGGGGAAUAUUGCACAAUGGAGGGAACUCUGAUGCAGCGACGCCGCGUGAGUGAAGAAGUCAUUCGUUAUGUAAAGCUCUAUCAGCAGGGAAGUAAGUGACGGUACCUGAAAAAGAAGCUCCGGCUAAAUACGUGCCGGCAGCCGAGGUAAUACGUAUGGAGCAAGCGUUAUCCGGAUUUACUGGGUGUAAAGGGAGAGUAGGUGGGAGAGCAAGUCCGAAGUGAAAACCCAAAGCUCAACUAUGGGAAUGGUAUUGAAACUGCUAAGCUAGAGUGCAGGAGAGGCGAGGGGAAUUCGUGGUGUAGCGGUGAAAUGCGUAGAUAGUAGGAAGAACACCAGUGGCGAAGGCGGCUUGCUAAACUGUAACUGACACUGAGGCUCGAAAGCGUGGGUAGCAAACAGGAUUAGAUACCCGUGUAGUC
RNAcentral lists this ribosomal RNA (440 nucleotides) under uncultured bacterium. RNAcentral describes it as "partial 16S ribosomal RNA". It matches the Rfam family "Bacterial small subunit ribosomal RNA", at positions 338 to 795 of the family's 1533-position model. The record is from RNAcentral.